Molecule: ribosomal RNA, 254 nt
Filed under: uncultured bacterium
Lineage: Bacteria
Description: partial 16S ribosomal RNA
Rfam family: Bacterial small subunit ribosomal RNA
Source: RNAcentral
UACGUAGGGUGCGAGCGUUGUCCGGAAUUAUUGGGCGUAAAGAGCUCGUAGGCGGUGUGUCACGUCGGCCGUGAAAACCUGCAGCUUAACUGUGGGCGUGCGGUCGAUACGGGCAUCACUGGAGUUCGGCAGGGGAGACUGGAAUUCCUGGUGUAGCGGUGAAAUGCGUAGAUAUCAAGAGGAACACCUGCGGCGAAGGCGGGUUGCUGGGCCGACACUGACGCUGAGGCGCGAAAGCUAGGGGAGCGAACGGG